This 225-nucleotide ribosomal RNA is filed under the name uncultured bacterium. RNAcentral describes it as "partial 16S ribosomal RNA". It matches the Rfam family "Bacterial small subunit ribosomal RNA", at positions 109 to 334 of the family's 1533-position model. The record is from RNAcentral.
AGUAACGCGUGGGUAACCUGCCUUAUACAGGGGGAUAACAGUCAGAAAUGGCUGCUAAUACCGCAUAAGCGCACAGAGCUGCAUGGCUCAGUGUGAAAAACUCCGGUGGUAUAAGAUGGACCCGCGUUGGAUUAGCUUGUUGGUGAGGUAACGGCCCACCAAGGCGACGAUCCAUAGCCGACCUGAGAGGGUGACCGGCCACAUUGGGACUGAGACACGGCCCAA